CUCUAUUUACAUCUGAGUGUCGCUAUGCUUCAAAUACCUUAAUGUGAUUAGAUUUUUCUUGCGAGGCAAGUGUUGAUGACUCGUUUAUGGUGACAGCCACAUCAUUAAUUCAAAGCUUGGUCCAGCGUUCAUCAUCGUUGGCUUCCAGAUGGGAUCACCGGUAGAAAUAUAAUAGAUACAUCCGUUACUGCCAGAAACCUAACAAUCAAAAGCUCACGAACUAUGCUUGUACUGCUCGGUCUUCGGAACAAUGCGUGAACUGCGCUCGUCAUCUGCCGUAGUAUGAUAACAUCAGUUUUUGCUGAACGAGAUCGUGGGAUGUGCAGGAAUGGCCACGUAGUCGCAAACCGCUUUUUAAUCUACCGAGGUGUGAUAUACGUGGUGAUCUUUUCUUGACCACGUCGGGUCCCUCACGUGGAUUGUUCCUGUUAGGUAUUUUCCGCUCGUUUCGCUGUCGUUGAAUUAAUCUAGCGUUGUUCAGACGACUAUGCUAGCGGUUGUGCCUUUGAAACCGCUUCGUUUCACCACUCUAGCUUGCUGCUUCGUCUAGCUUUUCGCCGGACCACGGAAAUGUUUAAAUUUCGCGCCUACACCGGAUGUUAGUAUAACCCAAUCUAGGCCGGCUAUUUUUCCACCCAGAGCCUUUACUACCGGGCGAGCUACUACUUAUGUCUUGCGCAGUCAUAAUCAAAUCAGUGUUAUGUGGCUACCAGCUUCAAUGAAUGGGCAAUAUUAUUAGACGAUAGCAGCAUAUCGGACAUACUGUGAUAGCUGUGGCAGCAAAGCAUCACUCUGUCGUCGUACAGGCUGUUGAUGGUAUCGACAGUAACCUAAUUCGAGCGUCUGGCAAAUCAGUUGGGCGAUUGCUAGGUCUAAUUCCUGCAGGUGUUUGUUGUCGUGUGUAUACCUAACGAACGCACAUAAGGCGUGCAGGUGUAAGUCGAAAAUCUAACUAGCCGCAUACCUUACCACGGCAUUGAAUUUCAUGUGGUUGUAUAUGCAAGUCUACCGAACAAGCAGUGGGAGACUAGGGCAGGUAAGUGUCUGCAGAUGUCAUCAAGUGAGCCUACACUUGUCAGAAAAGUAUUGAGUGCUCAGUGAAACACUCCUUUUAUAGAUGAUAAUAAAUCCUGUUAAGAACGACGAUGCUGCAUUUGAGCUGCUGCUCCCUCACUAAAGAAAGUAUCAAGCUUUGUUAACCAAGGUAGUGAUACUGGUAAA
Varroa destructor (honeybee mite) is the source of this 1221-nucleotide long non-coding RNA. RefSeq lists it as uncharacterized. NCBI's taxonomy places the organism in Eukaryota, Metazoa, Arthropoda, Arachnida, Mesostigmata, Varroidae. The record is from RefSeq and is a predicted model, not a curated record.